This 392-nucleotide ribosomal RNA is filed under the name Staphylococcus aureus. RNAcentral's name for it is "partial 23S ribosomal RNA". It matches the Rfam family "Bacterial large subunit ribosomal RNA", at positions 12 to 397 of the family's 2925-position model. The record is from RNAcentral. Lineage: Bacteria; Bacillati; Bacillota; Bacilli; Caryophanales; Staphylococcaceae.
UAAGGGCGCACGGUGGAUGCCUUGGCACUAGAAGCCGAUGAAGGACGUUACUAACGACGAUAUGCUUUGGGGAGCUGUAAGUAAGCUUUGAUCCAGAGAUUUCCGAAUGGGGAAACCCAGCAUGAGUUAUGUCAUGUUAUCGAUAUGUGAAUACAUAGCAUAUCAGAAGGCACACCCGGAGAACUGAAACAUCUUAGUACCCGGAGGAAGAGAAAGAAAAUUCGAUUCCCUUAGUAGCGGCGAGCGAAACGGGAAGAGCCCAAACCAACAAGCUUGCUUGUUGGGGUUGUAGGACACUCUAUACGGAGUUACAAAGGACGACAUUAGACGAAUCAUCUGGAAAGAUGAAUCAAAGAAGGUAAUAAUCCUGUAGUCGAAAAUGUUGUCUCUCU